GAUGAACGCUGGCGGCGUGCCUAAUACAUGCAAGUCGAGCGAACAGACGCGGAGCUUGCUCCUCUGACGUUAGCGGCGGACGGGUGAGUAACACGUGGAUAACCUACCUGUAAGACUGGGAUAACUUCGGGAAACCGGCGCUUAUACCGGAUAAUAUCUUGCACCGCAUUGUUCAAUAGUGAAAGACGGUUUUGCUGUCUCUUCUAGAUGGAUCCGCGCCGCAUUAGCUAGUUGGUAAGGUAACGGCUUACCAAGGCAACGAUGCGUAGCCGACCUGAGAGGGUGAUCGGCCACACUGGAACGGAGACACGGUCCAGACUCCUACGGGAGGCAGCAGUAGGGAAUCUUCCGCAAUGGGCGAAAGCCUGACGGAGCAACGCCGCGUGAGUGAUGAAGGUCUUCGGAUCGUAAAACUCUGUUAUUAGGGAAGAACAAAUGUGUAAGUAACUAUGCACGUCUUGACGGUACCUAAUCAGAAAGCCACGGCUAACUACGUG
This 497-nucleotide ribosomal RNA is filed under the name uncultured bacterium. Its description in RNAcentral is "partial 16S ribosomal RNA". It matches the Rfam family "Bacterial small subunit ribosomal RNA", at positions 28 to 507 of the family's 1533-position model. The record is from RNAcentral.